Molecule: ribosomal RNA, 254 nt
Filed under: uncultured bacterium
Lineage: Bacteria
Description: partial 16S ribosomal RNA
Rfam family: Bacterial small subunit ribosomal RNA
Source: RNAcentral
UACGUAGGGGGCAAGCGUUGUCCGGAUUUAUUGGGCGUAAAGAGCUCGUAGGUGGUUUGGUAAGUCGGAUGUGAAAUCUCCAGGCUCAACCUGGAGGGGUCAUUCGAUACUGCCAUGACUAGAGGUCGGUAGGGGAGUGUGGAAUUCCUGGUGGAGCGGUGAAAUGCGCAGAUAUCAGGAGGAACACCGGUGGCGAAGGCGGUUCUCUGGGCCUGUACUGACGCUGAGGAACGAAAGCUAGGGGAGCGAAUGGG